This 4683-nucleotide long non-coding RNA is filed under the name Podarcis lilfordi (Lilford's wall lizard). Lineage: Eukaryota; Metazoa; Chordata; Lepidosauria; Squamata; Lacertidae. The record is from RNAcentral.
AAUACGCUUUUGCCUUCCAUUCAGCACGGCUCAGACGGAGGCUGUAGGAGCUAGUGUGUGCCUGCGGCUUGCAGGACCCUGGGUCUUUUGAGGUGAGAUCCCAGCCAUGCUGGACUUCUACACAAUUGCGAUAGGGCUCCUGAUCCUUCUGCUCCUCCUGGGGAAUGUUUUCUUCCCCUACCUUUGGCUGGACUUGGUUUUCUUCUUCACCGUCCUUCGAACAGGAUACAAAUGCCACAGGUGUCUCAGCCGCAAACCUCCCAUCACCUUACUGGACUUCUUCUUGGCCAAAGUCCAGAAGCACCCAGAGAAGCCCCUGGUCCUCUUUGGAGACGAAACGUAUUCCUACCGAGAUAUCGACAGGCGCAGCAGUCAGCUGGCCAGAGUGCUCCGGGACCACGUGGGGCUGGAAGAAGGAGAAACGGUGGCUGUUUUCCUCAAGAACGUCCCUGCCUAUCUCUGGGUCUGGAUGGGACUGGAGAAGAUUGGCAGUGUCAUGGCGUGUAUCAACUAUAACAUCCGAGCCAAGUCUCUCUUGCAUGCCCUCAGCUCCUGCAAGACCACAGUGCUACUGACAACUCCAGGUGAGUUAAAAAGGUGAGAGAAAUCUAGAGAAAUCUUAGUCCAAAGAGGAGUUAGACAAGGAUGCCUAUUAGCCCCAUUCCUAUUUAAUAUCUAUGUUAACUCCCUGGUUACAUGCUGCCGUGAAAUUGAAACCCACCCCCCUGUGUUCUCUAAUGGCAGAAAAGUACCAAUUUUAAUGUAUGCGGAUGACGCUGUUCUUCUCUCUCAAACCAAAGUGGGUCUGAAACGUGCCUUAGGAAAGUUUAGUGACCAAUGUAACACUGAACUGUUAACAAUUAACUUUGCCAAAACCAAAAUUGUACAUUUUAACCGCUCCUUUAGGAAGGAUAAUUGGAGCGUAAAGGGAACGCCAUUGAACAGACUAAGACCUUCCAAUACUUAGGCAUUACUUUCUCUUAUAAUGCCAAAUUCUCAACACACUUGACCACAUCAGCUAUAUCAGCAGAAAGAAGUGCAAAUGCUAUCCUUAGAUUAUUCAGAAGGAAAGGAGCUGGCUUCCUCCCGAUGGCCCUAACAGUCUUUCAGGCAAAAUCUUUAGCCCAACUUCUAUAUGGCUCUCAAAUUAGCCCCUCUGCCAACCUUAAGACCUUUGAAACAGUACAAUCUAAAUUCUUAAGAUCAUUAUUUGCUACUCCUAAGUGUACACCUAAUGCAGUCUUAAGGCAAGAGGCAGGACUGCCCAGAGUGGAAUUAAAAGUCUGGGAACAAGCAAUAUCCCUCUGGCUGAAAAUCCAUUACAAUCCUAAGGGUCUAUUACCUUGCUUCCUGGCCGCAGUUCCCUAUCCUCCUUGGCUUUUGCAAAUAACUAACAAGAUCAAACAAAUUGGCCUAAACCCUGAAAAUAUUUUUAUUGGAACUCUGAACAAGGCAAAAACUACUAUCACUCGGAGACUUUAUGAUAUCGAAUUACAACAAGAAGGCGCCCUACUCCCAGAGACGUAUAGAUGUUUAAAAGCUUGGCCUAAUUUUGCAGCUGCCCCUUACUUAACUAACAUCACUAACGAAACCUAUAGAUGGGCUUUCUCUAGAGCCCGCUUUGAGACAAUGCCCUCAGCAGUGCUGUACGGCAAAUUCACGCGAGUUCCAAUGCAUGCGCGUCUCUGCCCUUGUAUGUCUAAUAAGGUAGAAUCUGUCACACACAUUCUUCUAUCUUGCGAAUUCUAUAGUGAAGAACGAGUUCAACUUAUUUUACCACUUCUAUCAAAAUUUAUACCCCUUCAAUAUUAUUUGGAAUCCUCCCCUGAAAUUCUUCGAAAAUACCUCCUGGAAGAUUCCUCAAGCUCAGUAUCAUAUGAGGUGGCUAAAUUUUGCACUUUAGUAAUUAAGAAGCGUAAAUCUCUUCUGUUGAAUGGCACACUGGGAAGUUCUCUUGUGUAACCUUUUUUCUUUUUUAAAGUUGUUGCUGUUUUCUGGUUGUCUGAUCUUAUGGUGUUUAGUGUCACUGGCUUCGGCCGCAAUAAACUUGAACUUGAGAACUUGAGAAAAGGUGAAGGUAAAGGUAAAGGUACCCCUUGUGCAUUUACACCCAAGGGGGCAACUGAAAGCCUGUUUGGGCUGCACUUGUCAGGCCAUAUAGUCACACUGGAAAGAAUAUUGGGGAAUUCUCUUUAACUGUCCCCCCCCCCCGUUUUAAAAGAGGUUUCAAAUGUCUUUUUCCAUACCUGACAAAAUAGCACAAUCUCUGUGUUGUCUGAGCUCCUCUGCACCUGAGCAGUUUCAGACUUUCCAAGGGAAGAAAACAACAUUUAAAGGAGGGGAGAUCUGAGACAGUGAUGUCAAUCAGAUGCCCUGACAUUAAUGAGGAGACAGGCUGGCGCAAAUCCACAUUGUGGACAAGCGCUUGAACUUUGACUACUGAUCUCCACUCAGGUGCUUUAGCAAGUCUGAUCAGCAGAGUUAAUGCCCAGCAGAGUUCUAAAUGCAGGCAUCCCUCAGAGUUCGGCUUCUCCAAGGGAAAAGAGAAGGGGGAUUCUGGGUUGUACCUAACACAAAUGCAAAGCUUGAUUGGGAAAAUGGCAUAUUUGUUUAAGUGGUCAUUCGUUUAAGUGGAUCUACUCUGAGUAUGGCUUACUUUGAGAUCACACCCUUUGUUGAUGAAUCCACUGUCUUAUUAGCCAGUGGCCAGCUCUGGACACCUUCCCCUCCCCAGAUCAAGGUUUUGGGAUUUAGUUACUUCGCUGUAGUUUGGAGAAUGCAGGAUCUUUGCCUGUUCAAGUGAGGCAUUGCUCUUGAUGCAAACUUUCAGUUGCUAUUGGCUAAUAGUUUUACCUUUCCCUGACUGUGGCAUGGCUUCCAUUACCUUUUUUUUUUUUAUUAAAGGAAAAGCUUUACUUUAAAAGCCAUUUUCUUCCUCCUUGAAGCACUGUUUGGCAUUUUGGCACAUGGAUAACAGAACGUCCAAGUGUCCCUAUUUUCCAGGGACAGUCCUGGAUUUACAGAAGCCAUCCUGGUUUCUGAUUUGAUCCUGGAAUAUCCCGCUUUCUCUUAUGACGUUCCUAUUUUCAUCGGAGGAAUAUGGAAUGUUGGAGGAUAUGGAAUAGGAUGUCCCUAUUUUCAUCGGAAAAAUGUUGGCGGGUAUGGGAUAAUAAAUCUCUUAAGUUGAAAAGAAAUCAAUUUUUCUCAGCUAUUAGAAGUAACAAUCUUUCUUUGAGCAUGGGUGUAUGAGAGAAAUUAGGCAGAGUGCAAAGGGAAAAGAGCUGGAGAAAGCAUUCCUUGAGUAAGUAGUCAUUAUUUCAGUUGCUUUAGCCCUAAAAGAAAGCAAAGCAUCUCUGAGUCUUCACCACGCAGGGUGUGUGUUUUCCUUGUUGAACUGCCUUCAGUGUGACCUCCCAAAAACGGGUUAGUUUAGUAAAGCAGUGUUCCAAGAAGAAAAUAACAGCAAUAGCUGCUGAUGUUUGAGGGAAGGAAAGGAGGGAAGAGAGAACGAAUGGAUAUCCAGCAGGAGUAAUAUUACAUUAUCGACUCCAGUGGUUUCUGUGAUGACAUCAGUGUAACUGGCCAGUCAAAAUUGAGGGUGCUUUGCCAUUCCCACCUGAAUUGCCCCUUUGCAACAACAACUAGGCAAGCUGUGUCAGUGUUAUUAUGGAUUGAUUUGAUUUCUCACCUGCCUUUCCCCACAAAGGGCCAAAGCGGGUUAUAAUAAAAUAUGCCAUUAUGCAACAAAUAAAAAAUGAAGGUUAAAAAAUAAAGAAAUUACGAAACAUUCCAUAUCUAAAAAACAGUACAAACGUUAAAGAACCAUUUCAGGGGGGAGAGGGAACCCACAAUUUAAAUCGAUCCAAUACGGAUGCAGGCUGGGAUAAUUUGGAAGGCUUCUAGAAAGAGGAAGGUCUUCAUUUGGCACCGAUAAGACAACAAAGACCUGCCUGUCUAAUAUGUAACAAGAAGAAAGUCCAAAUGAUAGGGUAUCACACUUUUUUUCCGGAAUAAAAUGGUAUCUUACAAAUGAUGCCUGGAUGUCAAGAGUGUCUGACUCUUCCCAGGUCAAUGAAUCUGGACCAGGUGAGAUUUUAAUCCAUGGCACCAGAGCCAAAGUAAACACUCUUGUGUACAAACAAUUUUUUCUCUGAAGCAGAGAGGAAGAGACUCUCCCCCUUUAGACCAGCACACUAAUCCUGACUCAACAUCAAUAGCUUGAUAACAAGGGAGGCAGGGAGAGUGCAUGGGGGCGGGAAGGGGUAGCUGGUUCCCUCUGUUUUAAGGAAUCCUAGUCAUGAUGCCUAUGUUCUCCUUCUUACUGUCGGAGGCAGUCGGCCUCUGCUAGGAAUCACAAGUGAGGAGACUGCCAUUGUGUUCAGGUCCUUCUUCUUGAGCUUUAGCUGGCCACCGAGACAGCAGGACACUGGGCCAAAUUGGCUAUUGGCCUGACCCAAUAGGACAGCCAGCAUGGUGUAGUGGUUAGAGUGCCGGACUAAGGCCUGGGAAACCAGAGUUCAAGUCCCCACUCCACCAUGAAGCUCACUGAGCGACCUUGAGCCAGUCACUGCCUCUCAGCCUGACUUACCUUACAGGUUUGCUUGGGGGAUUAAAUGAGGAAAGGGGAAGAAACCCGUACACCACCUGGAACUCUUUGGAGUAAAGGUGGGAUAUGAAAGCAGC